UAUUAGAGUUUGAUCAUGGCUCAGAACGAACGCUGGCGGCAGGCUUAACACAUGCAAGUCGAACGGGCGUCGCAAGACGUCAGUGGCAGACGGGUGAGUAACGCGUGGGAACAUACCCUCCGGUUCGGAAUAACUCAGGGAAACUUGAGCUAAUACCGGAUACGGCCUGGCGGCGAAAGAUUGAUCGCCGGAGGAUUGGCCCGCGUCCGAUUAGCUUGUUGGCGGGGUAACGGCCCACCAAGGCGACGAUCGGUAGCUGGUCUGAGAGGAUGAUCAGCCACAUUGGGACUGAAACACGGCCCAAACUCCUACGGGAGGCAGCAGUGGGGAAUAUUGGACAAUGGGCGCAAGCCUGAUCCAGCCAUGCCGCGUGAGUGAUGACGGCCUUAGGGUUGUAAAGCUCUUUCGCUCGGGACGAUAAUGACGGUACCGCAAGAAUAAGCCCCGGCUAACUUCGUGCCAGCAGCCGCGGUA
RNAcentral lists this ribosomal RNA (474 nucleotides) under uncultured bacterium. RNAcentral describes it as "bacterial SSU rRNA". It matches the Rfam family "Bacterial small subunit ribosomal RNA", at positions 1 to 522 of the family's 1533-position model. The record is from RNAcentral.